GGGUUGUGAGGUUAAGCGACUAAGCGUACACGGUGGAUGCCCUGGCAGUCAGAGGCGAUGAAGGACGUGCUAAUCUGCGAUAAGCGUCGGUAAGGUGAUAUGAACCGUUAUAACCGGCGAUUUCCGAAUGGGGAAACCCAGUGUGUUUCGACACACUAUCAUUAACUGAAUCCAUAGGUUAAUGAGGCGAACCGGGGGAACUGAAACAUCUAAGUACCCCGAGGAAAAGAAAUCAACCGAGAUUCCCCCAGUAGCGGCGAGCGAACGGGGAGCAGCCCAGAGCCUGAAUCAGUGUGUGUGUUAGUGGAAGCGUCUGGAAAGGCGCGCGAUACAGGGUGACAGCCCCGUACACAAAAAUGCACAUGCUGUGAGCUCGAUGAGUAGGGCGGGACACGUGGUAUCCUGUCUGAAUAUGGGGGGACCAUCCUCCAAGGCUAAAUACUCCUGACUGACCGAUAGUGAACCAGUACCGUGAGGGAAAGGCGAAAAGAACCCCGGCGAGGGGAGUGAAAAAGAACCUGAAACCGUGUACGUACAAGCAGUGGGAGCACGCUUAGGCGUGUGACUGCGUACCUUUUGUAUAAUGGGUCAGCGACUUAUAUUCUGUAGCAAGGUUAACCGAAUAGGGGAGCCGAAGGGAAACCGAGUCUUAACUGGGCGUUAAGUUGCAGGGUAUAGACCCGAAACCCGGUGAUCUAGCCAUGGGCAGGUUGAAGGUUGGGUAACACUAACUGGAGGACCGAACCGACUAAUGUUGAAAAAUUAGCGGAUGACUUGUGGCUGGGGGUGAAAGGCCAAUCAAACCGGGAGAUAGCUGGUUCUCCCCGAAAGCUAUUUAGGUAGCGCCUCGUGAAUUCAUCUCCGGGGGUAGAGCACUGUUUCGGCAAGGGGGUCAUCCCGACUUACCAACCCGAUGCAAACUGCGAAUACCGGAGAAUGUUAUCACGGGAGACACACGGCGGGUGCUAACGUCCGUCGUGAAGAGGGAAACAACCCAGACCGCCAGCUAAGGUCCCAAAGUCAUGGUUAAGUGGGAAACGAUGUGGGAAGGCCCAGACAGCCAGGAUGUUGGCUUAGAAGCAGCCAUCAUUUAAAGAAAGCGUAAUAGCUCACUGGUCGAGUCGGCCUGCGCGGAAGAUGUAACGGGGCUAAACCAUGCACCGAAGCUGCGGCAGCGACGCUUAUGCGUUGUUGGGUAGGGGAGCGUUCUGUAAGCCUGUGAAGGUGUGCUGUGAGGCAUGCUGGAGGUAUCAGAAGUGCGAAUGCUGACAUAAGUAACGAUAAAGCGGGUGAAAAGCCCGCUCGCCGGAAGACCAAGGGUUCCUGUCCAACGUUAAUCGGGGCAGGGUGAGUCGACCCCUAAGGCGAGGCCGAAAGGCGUAGUCGAUGGGAAACAGGUUAAUAUUCCUGUACUUGGUGUUACUGCGAAGGGGGGACGGAGAAGGCUAUGUUGGCCGGGCGACGGUUGUCCCGGUUUAAGCGUGUAGGCUGGUUUUCCAGGCAAAUCCGGAAAAUCAAGGCUGAGGCGUGAUGACGAGGCACUACGGUGCUGAAGCAACAAAUGCCCUGCUUCCAGGAAAAGCCUCUAAGCAUCAGGUAACAUCAAAUCGUACCCCAAACCGACACAGGUGGUCAGGUAGAGAAUACCAAGGCGCUUGAGAGAACUCGGGUGAAGGAACUAGGCAAAAUGGUGCCGUAACUUCGGGAGAAGGCACGCUGAUAUGUAGGUGAAGUCCCUUGCGGAUGGAGCUGAAAUCAGUCGAAGAUACCAGCUGGCUGCAACUGUUUAUUAAAAACACAGCACUGUGCAAACACGAAAGUGGACGUAUACGGUGUGACGCCUGCCCGGUGCCGGAAGGUUAAUUGAUGGGGUCAGCGCAAGCGAAGCUCUUGAUCGAAGCCCCGGUAAACGGCGGCCGUAACUAUAACGGUCCUAAGGUAGCGAAAUUCCUUGUCGGGUAAGUUCCGACCUGCACGAAUGGCGUAAUGAUGGCCAGGCUGUCUCCACCCGAGACUCAGUGAAAUUGAACUCGCUGUGAAGAUGCAGUGUACCCGCGGCAAGACGGAAAGACCCCGUGAACCUUUACUAUAGCUUGACACUGAACAUUGAGCCUUGAUGUGUAGGAUAGGUGGGAGGCUUAGAAGUGUGGACGCCAGUCUGCAUGGAGCCGACCUUGAAAUACCACCCUUUAAUGUUUGAUGUUCUAACGUUGACCCGUAAUCCGGGUUGCGGACAGUGUCUGGUGGGUAGUUUGACUGGGGCGGUCUCCUCCUAAAGAGUAACGGAGGAGCACGAAGGUUGGCUAAUCCUGGUCGGACAUCAGGAGGUUAGUGCAAUGGCAUAAGCCAGCUUGACUGCGAGCGUGACGGCGCGAGCAGGUGCGAAAGCAGGUCAUAGUGAUCCGGUGGUUCUGAAUGGAAGGGCCAUCGCUCAACGGAUAAAAGGUACUCCGGGGAUAACAGGCUGAUACCGCCCAAGAGUUCAUAUCGACGGCGGUGUUUGGCACCUCGAUGUCGGCUCAUCACAUCCUGGGGCUGAAGUAGGUCCCAAGGGUAUGGCUGUUCGCCAUUUAAAGUGGUACGCGAGCUGGGUUUAGAACGUCGUGAGACAGUUCGGUCCCUAUCUGCCGUGGGCGCUGGAGAACUGAGGGGGGCUGCUCCUAGUACGAGAGGACCGGAGUGGACGCAUCACUGGUGUUCGGGUUGUCAUGCCAAUGGCACUGCCCGGUAGCUAAAUGCGGAAGAGAUAAGUGCUGAAAGCAUCUAAGCACGAAACUUGCCCCGAGAUGAGUUCUCCCUGACCCUUUAAGGGUCCUGAAGGAACGUUGAAGACGACGACGUUGAUAGGCCGGGUGUGUAAGCGCAGCGAUGCGUUGAGCUAACCGGUACUAAUGAACCGUGAGGCUUAACCUUACAACGCCGAAGCUGUU
RNAcentral lists this ribosomal RNA (2930 nucleotides) under Escherichia coli. RNAcentral's name for it is "23S ribosomal RNA". It matches the Rfam family "Bacterial large subunit ribosomal RNA". Lineage: Bacteria; Pseudomonadati; Pseudomonadota; Gammaproteobacteria; Enterobacterales; Enterobacteriaceae. The record is from RNAcentral.